GACGAACGCUGGCGGCGUGCUUAACACAUGCAGGUCGAACGGAAAGGCCUUUUCGGAGGUACUCGAGUGGCGAACGGGUGAGUAACACGUGGGUGAUCUGCCCUGCACUCUGGGAUAAGCCUGGGAAACUGGGUCUAAUACCGGAUAGGACCGCACUUUAGUGUGUGUGGUGGAAAGUUUUUUCGGUGUAGGAUGAGCCCGCGGCCUAUCAGCUUGUUGGUGGGGUAAUGGCCUACCAAGGCGGCGACGGGUAGCCGGACUGAGAGGUUGGUCGGCCACAUUGGGACUGAGAUACGGCCCAGACUCCUACGGGAGGCAGCAGUGGGGAAUAUUGCACAAUGGGCGCAAGCCUGAUGCAGCGACGCCGCGUGGGGGAUGACGGCCUUCGGGUUGUAAACUCCUUUCGCCAGGGACGAAGCGUUUUGUGACGGUAACUGGAGAAGAAGCACCGGCUAACUACGUG
RNAcentral lists this ribosomal RNA (463 nucleotides) under uncultured bacterium. RNAcentral describes it as "partial 16S ribosomal RNA". It matches the Rfam family "Bacterial small subunit ribosomal RNA", at positions 28 to 507 of the family's 1533-position model. The record is from RNAcentral.